Molecule: ribosomal RNA, 432 nt
Filed under: Streptomyces flaveolus
Lineage: Bacteria; Bacillati; Actinomycetota; Actinomycetes; Kitasatosporales; Streptomycetaceae
Description: bacterial SSU rRNA
Rfam family: Bacterial small subunit ribosomal RNA
Source: RNAcentral
CAUGGCUCAGGACGAACGCUGGCGGCGUGCUUAACACAUGCAAGUCGAACGAUGAACCACUUCGGUGGGGAUUAGUGGCGAACGGGUGAGUAACACGUGGGCAAUCUGCCCUUCACUCUGGGACAAGCCCUGGAAACGGGGUCUAAUACCGGAUACUGACCGGCCUGGGCAUCCAGGCGGGUCGAAAGCUCCGGCGGUGAAGGAUGAGCCCGCGGCCUAUCAGCUUGUUGGUGAGGUAAUGGCUCACCAAGGCGACGACGGGUAGCCGGCCUGAGAGGGCGACCGGCCACACUGGGACUGAGACACGGCCCAGACUCCUACGGGAGGCAGCAGUGGGGAAUAUUGCACAAUGGGCGAAAGCCUGAUGCAGCGACGCCGCGUGAGGGAUGACGGCCUUCGGGUUGUAAACCUCUUUCAGCAGGGAAGAAGCGA